Molecule: RNA transcript, 1018 nt
Organism: Gossypium raimondii (Peruvian cotton)
Lineage: Eukaryota; Viridiplantae; Streptophyta; Magnoliopsida; Malvales; Malvaceae
Gene name: probable peptide/nitrate transporter At3g43790
Exons: 8
Source: RefSeq, a predicted model, not a curated record
CUAUUCCCUGGGCCCACCACCAAAUAGAUGUUUUACACCCCUAUUCCUUUCCGUGUCUGCUACUGAUAUUGGAUGUAAUAGCUUUGAAGUGGCGAUUAGGGAUUCCCCACCAAUUCCCAAUUUUAUUUUCUGUUUUCUGCCCUCAUCCUCUCGCGACGUUUCCCAAUUUUUUCCCUUCCAGAUUUCUACUUCUUCUUCUGGUACGAUAUUUGCAGAUAUUUUUCACUUUGGGCAGUUAGUGAUAAAAAAUAUGGAGGAUUAAGCUUUUCAUCCUAAGAUGUUGGUGAAGUUCUUGCUUUCUCUGGAUUUGGUCUUUUACUGUUUCAACUGCUGUUGUAUCCACCAGUUGAGAGACGCCUUGGGCCUCUCAUGGUUACACGCCUUUCAGCUGUAAUAUCAAUUCCAUUGUUGUCAUGUUUCCCCAUAUAGCAAUGCUUUCAGGGGUAGUCCUGCAUUUGGUGAUAAAUUGUGCAGCCAUAUUAAGAAACAUUCUAUCUGUUUCACUUGUUACUGGAUUAUUCAUAUUGCUGAACAAUGCAGUGCCUAAGUCAGAGAGGGGCCGCUAAUGCCAUUUCAAUAACUGCAAUGUCUGUUUUCAAAGCAUUUGGUCCAGCAGGAGGAGGAGCGCUGUAGAUUUUCUUGGGCACAAGAGCGACAAGUUGCCUCUUUUCUUCUAGGUGAUCAAAUGGUUUUCUUUGCGCCAAUCAUGGUUCAAUUUAUUGGGUUGCUAUUGACUUUCAAGCCCUUUCUUGCUGAACCGUACCAGAGAGAAUAGCAUCAACAAUUAUUUUUUUAGUUCACUUCAUCAGUGUUCUCAUCAUAUGAAUCAUUGUUGAUUAGUGAAUUGACCCGAAUAAAGUUUAUAAUAAUUGGAAUGGUAUGUCAUUACAAUGUUCUAAUUUUUUGAUGUUGAAAAAUUGUAUAACAUAUGGAUUAUGACAUAGAAUUUCAUGAAUUUCAUGUAACCUUUUGUUAAUAUAUGAAUAUUAUGUUUAUGCAAAAUAUAAUUCUCAAGUUA